UCAAACUUGGUCAUUUAGAGGAAGUAAAAGUCGUAACAAGGUUUCCGUAGGUGAACCUGCGGAAGGAUCAUUACAGAAUAAACUUGAUAAAUUGUUGCUGGUACUCUCGGGUGCAUGUGCACAUUUAUCAUUUUUAUAUUUCCACCAGUGCACCAUUUGUAGUUCUGGGAUAAAUCUGUUUUAUACAGCUAUAUGGCUGUAUUUUGGUUGGCUGCUGUGCUUUUUCAUGCCGGCUUCCUUCUGUGUAUUCCAGGACUAUGUUUUUACAUAUACACCAUGUAUGUUCAAGAAUGUCAUUUUGAGGCCCUUACAAGCCUUAUAUAAACAAUAUACAACUUUCAGCAACGGAUCUCUUGGCUCUCGCAUCGAUGAAGAACGCAGC
RNAcentral lists this unclassified non-coding RNA (382 nucleotides) under uncultured fungus. Its description in RNAcentral is "partial contains small subunit ribosomal RNA, internal transcribed spacer 1, and 5.8S ribosomal RNA". The stretch from base 1 to 73 matches the Rfam family "Eukaryotic small subunit ribosomal RNA", at positions 1759 to 1831 of the family's 1831-position model. Lineage: Eukaryota; Fungi. The record is from RNAcentral.